CAGCAGCCGCGGUAAUACGAAGGGGGCUAGCGUUGUUCGGAAUUACUGGGCGUAAAGCGCACGUAGGCGGCUUGGUAAGUUAGAGGUGAAAGCCCGGAGCUCAACUCCGGAAUUGCCUUUAAGACUGCCGAGCUAGUAGGUGAGAGAGGUAAGUGGAAUUCCGAGUGUAGAGGUGAAAUUCGUAGAUAUUCGGAAGAACACCAGUGGCGAAGGCGGCUCACUGGACUGGUAUUGACGCUGAGGUGCGAAAGCGUGGGGAGCAAACAGGAUUAGAUACCCCAGUAGUCCCUGUCUCUUAUAC
RNAcentral lists this ribosomal RNA (301 nucleotides) under uncultured bacterium. RNAcentral's name for it is "partial 16S ribosomal RNA". It matches the Rfam family "Bacterial small subunit ribosomal RNA", at positions 509 to 807 of the family's 1533-position model. The record is from RNAcentral.